UGGUGCCUACGGGAGGCAGCAGUGGGGGAUAUUGCACAAUGGGGGGAACCCUGAUGCAGCGACGCCGCGUGGGUGAAGGAGUGCUUCGGCAUGUAAAGCCCUAUCGGCAGGGAAGAAGCAAGACGGUACCUGACUAAGAAGCCCCGGCUAACUACGUGCCAGCAGCCGCGGCAAUACGUAGGGGGCGAGGGUUAUCCGGAUUCACUGGGCGUAAAGGGAGCGUAGAGGGCGAAGCAAGCCCGGGG
This 245-nucleotide ribosomal RNA is filed under the name uncultured bacterium. Its description in RNAcentral is "partial 16S ribosomal RNA". It matches the Rfam family "Bacterial small subunit ribosomal RNA", at positions 333 to 594 of the family's 1533-position model. The record is from RNAcentral.